CCUACGGGAGGCAGCAGUAACGAAUCUUCCGCAAUGCGCGAAAGCGUGACGGGGCAAUGCCGCGUGCAGGAUGAAGCCCCUCGGGGUGUAAACUGCUGUCAGGGUGCAGGAAAGAAAUGACCAUACCCAAAGGAAGCACCGGCUAACUCUGUGCCAGCAGCCGCGGUAAUACAGAGGGUGCGAGCGUUAAUCGGAAUCACUGGGCUUAAAGGGUGCGUAGGCGGAUGCAUAGGCGCUUUGUGAAAUCCCACGGCUCAACCGUGGAAUUGCUUGGCGAACCAUGCAUCUUGAGGUUGGUAGAGGUCACUGGAACGAUAGGUGGAGCGGUGAAAUGCGUAGAUAUCUAUCGGAACGCCAAAAGGUGAAGACAGGUGACUGGGCCAAAAUCUGACGCUGAGGCACGAAAAGCGUGGGGAGCAAAACGGGAUUAGAUACCCCGGUAGUCCACGCUGUAAACGAUGCAUACUUGGUCGGAGCGGUUUGACUCCGUUCCGGCCGUAGGAAAACUGAUGAGUAUGCCGCCUGGGGAGUACGGUCGCAAGAUUAAAACUACAAAGAAGUAGUAGACGNGNGAGAGCGACGACGACGACGACGAGGAGGAGG
Molecule: ribosomal RNA, 603 nt
Filed under: uncultured bacterium
Lineage: Bacteria
Description: bacterial SSU rRNA
Rfam family: Bacterial small subunit ribosomal RNA
Source: RNAcentral